ACAAACAAGCACAGGGCAGCAGUAGGAUUUCAUAACUAGCAUCUCACAGGGCUCCUCUCUCUGCCCUGACAGGAGACAACAUGGAAUACUUGUCUACAGCUGCACUUCAGUAUCAAACUCAGCUCUAUCAUGCCUCAGCAGAGUUGUGUCUUCUCUAUCCAGGAACAAAUUCGGCCAAGACUCUUCACUGAGAGUAGCACACAGAUAGCCCUGAGCAAAAUUCAGUCCUGUCAGAAUGUCUGUUUUCCAUCUCCAUUAAAAAAUCAUGUCCCAGUGUAUAAUCACGCAACUGGCAGAAGGUGGAUCUGCUUUAGCAUGCAACUCAUCAGAGACCCACUCCUUCUGUCCUGACCUCUUUUACUUACAGCAAAGACCAGAUCUCUCAGCUCACCACUGGCAUACCUGGGGCUUGUGCAGGAGCAGGACACCAUCACCAAGAGCCUUCAGUGUUAUAUGGACUAAAGAAUAAAGUGGUACCUGGGCCUUGCUGCCCUUACAGACAUCACCAGGAAAGGGGGUAGAUCCUAAGAGAAGAAAUUGCUGUAGAGACAUUUUUGGUGAUUUCUCUGCUUUGGGGAAGCCCACAGGCUUUAAGACAAAUUAUAUUCCAUGAGAAAAGUUAAAUAGAGAGAAAAUACUUGAGAGCUGUCACAAACUAGAUUAAGUCUUUGUGUGCAACAAAGAUUGCUUGUAGUGGUGGAUAAAAACAAGUGGAUGAGCUCACCUGUUCAGUGUCUCUCAAAGGAGAGCACGUUCAAUAUUGUUUAAAUCAGGUUUGGAACAGCACUGUUUACCUUCAGCUAUGCCCUUGGGAAGGAAAAGCUGGGGUUACCCACACAGCUCUGGACAGAAGACAAUAACCCAAUAACCCAGCUGUCCUUUGAUACUUCACCUGGGCACCUCCUCAUCCAUCACUAUCACCAUGUUGGAUGGGAAGAAUAAAAACAAAUGGCAAAACAGAGAAGCUGCUCCAAAACUGUAAUUUUCUUCCUCCAACUGGAAAUACUUUAUCCGAUUAUGACUUCCUUACAAAGACAAGGCUCAAAAAUAUUAAGAUAACUCCAGUUUUUUAAAUUCUAAGAGUGACUGGAAAAUGCACGUAGGUCUGGUUGAGAAAAUUACUCCCCUGCUUGCUCAACUUGACGUGUGUCUCGAGGACUGGCCCUGGAUGAAAGCACAUGCUUAAAAAACACAUCUGUAUAACUUGCACAUCUGUAUAGCUUGCUACCAUGGUGUUUUAAAGUUGAAAGGGUCCUUUUAUGAACUCAUAAAGUAGAUAUGACUCUGGUUUCCAACAGUAUCACUAAGUGUAAUUCCUGUCAGAUAUUUAUGUCUGGUGAAUACACAUGCAGCAAAUAACCUAAAAUUGCAAACUAUACACCAUGAGUAGCAGUUUCAGUGUUCACUCACUAAUAAAAUUCCUGUGCUUCAUUUAUGUUUCUGGUCCAACAUAUCUCCCUUGUAGUAACUCAGGGCAGAGAUGGCAAACAAACUAAUACCUGCCCCAAUUUGCUAAGAUUGCCUUUGCAAGACCCCAGAGCAAGAGGGCAAUUCUUGGCUGCCCUCUGCAUUAGUAUUUCUGCUCCCAUGUGGGAUGAAAGUGACUUUUCAUUGGCUUGACUCAUGGAGAUGGAGAGCAAGGGCCUUGAUCUCUGCCCAGGUGUCUGCAGUGCUAUCUGCAAUAGAGGGAAUGCCACUGAGAGAGAAGCACUGGGUAUGCAAUAGUACACCCUCACAUAGAUUAAGAAAGGCCACAUUGCAUCAAAAAAAGGGUUUGUUAAGCCCAGUAGCCUCUCUCUGAUGGUGGUCAAGCAGAUGUUUAGAAAGAACGGAAUCACAUUUUGUGUACAAGGAUCUUCCCCUUAUAUGCCCUCACAGCUUUUGCUAGUAAACAGUUUAGGCACUCUGUGGGUCUCAGGUUAUAUUUUAGGCACCAGUAGAUCCCUCAUCCCCACUUCUGUGCUGAAUUUUGCUAAAACCAUAUACACCCAGGGCUGCCACAGUAACCGCUGACUGUAGCUCCAUGAGCCAUUUCUGCUGUCACUGACUACUGGAAGGUGAAACUGAGGACUGUGUUCCUCCAUUUCAGGGAAUCCAAAAAGACCAAGUUUACAGGUUGAAGUAGCUAAUCAAGGAUGAGCCAAACAAAAGGUACUUGCUACUUAUCCUGUCAAUUUAUUACCUCUCCAUUCUGCCAGUGGACCUUUGCUGAGCACCCACAGUCUCAUGCUGAUGCCCAUACUCC
Molecule: long non-coding RNA, 2245 nt
Organism: Taeniopygia guttata (zebra finch)
Lineage: Eukaryota; Metazoa; Chordata; Aves; Passeriformes; Estrildidae
Source: Ensembl